CAGUAGCCGCGGUAAUACGAAGGGUGCAAGCGUUACUCGGAAUUACUGGGCGUAAAGCGUGCGUAGGUGGUGGUUUAAGUCCGUUGUGAAAGCCCUGGGCUCAGCCUGGGAAUUGCAGUGGAUACUGGGUCACUAGAGUGUGGUAGAGGAUAGUGGAAUUUCCGGUGUAGCAGUGAAAUGCGUAGAGAUCGGAAGGAACAUCUGUGGCGAAGGCGACUAUCUGGGCCAACACUGACACUGAGGCACGAAAGCGUGGGGAGCAAACAGGAUUAGAUACCCCCGUAGUCCCUGUCUCUUAUAC
Molecule: ribosomal RNA, 301 nt
Filed under: uncultured bacterium
Lineage: Bacteria
Description: partial 16S ribosomal RNA
Rfam family: Bacterial small subunit ribosomal RNA
Source: RNAcentral